CCCGCGGUCAGACGGAAAGACCCCGUGCACCUUUACUAUAGCUUUGCAGUGGCAUUAGUACUUGUAUGUGUAGGAUAGGCGGGAGGCUUUGAAGCGACGGCGCCAGCUGUCGUGGAGCUACCCUUGAAAUACCGCCCUUAUACGUUCUGAUGUCUAACCGCGGCCCGUUAUCCGGGUCCGGGACCCUGCAUGGUGGGUAGUUUGACUGGGGCGGUCGCCUCCCAAAUAGUAACGGAGGCGCGCGAUGGUAGGCUCAGACCGGU
RNAcentral lists this ribosomal RNA (263 nucleotides) under Isochrysis galbana. Its description in RNAcentral is "partial Bacterial large subunit ribosomal RNA". It matches the Rfam family "Bacterial large subunit ribosomal RNA", at positions 2069 to 2331 of the family's 2925-position model. The record is from RNAcentral. Lineage: Eukaryota; Haptophyta; Isochrysidales; Isochrysidaceae.